UCGUAUAACUUGCUUCCUUAUGAUUCUUAAUUUCAGGAUAUUUUCCUGAACCGCUCCCACCUUCCAACUUUCAGCUCUCCUGCCAUCGAGACGCACAUCCACCGUAUCCCAGGACUCUCCCAGAAGUUUAUUUACCUCAAUGACGAUGUGAUGUUUGGCAAAGACGUUUGGCCGGACGACUUCUACAGCCACUCCAAAGGACAGAAGGUGUACCUCACCUGGCCGGUUCCUAACUGUGCUGAGGGCUGCCCAGGAUCCUGGAUUAAAGAUGGAUACUGUGACAAGGCCUGCAACAACUCGGCCUGCGACUGGGAUGGAGGAGACUGUCUCGGAAUAGCAGGAAACAACCGGUUUCCUGCAGGGGCCGGUGGCGUCGGGCCCGGAGGAGCAGGUGGACCGGUGUGGCAGAUCGGCGGUUUUGGAGGAAUUGGAGGGACGUCGUACUGCAAUCAAGGCUGCGCCAACUCGUGGCUGGCAGACAAGUUCUGCGAUCAGGCCUGCAACGUUCUCUCCUGUGGGUUUGAUGUGGGCGACUGCGGCCACGAGCACUUUGGCGAGCUGCACCGUGUGACUCUGCUCAGAAACCAGAGCCUCUACACUCUCCCUCUGGGCGAGACCAGGCCGUAUUUCAGCUUCGACAAGCUGGCUCGCCGAGUCUCCGAGGCCCACGUCAAGGACAACCCCGUGGUCCGACACACGUCCGUCGCCAACAAGUGGAAGAGCAUUCACCUGCUGCUGUACCCGGGGCAAAACGCCACCCAGGUCCAGUACAACGUCACCUUCCAGACAGAGGGUGACACUCUGUUCACCAUGAUCUUCAGCGUCGCAGUCGACACGCGGGAGGUUCCUCAGACUAACGCCACUCGGGGCGGGAGCAAAGAGGCAGGAGAGGAGUCUAAGCUCACCCCGACAGCCGAGCCAGUUUUCCCGUUUUCGGAUAUUCCCGAGGAAAAACGAGGGCCGAAGAUCCAGAAGAACCAUCCUGCUGAAUCUCAGGCUCUUAUACAGGUUCCUUUGGUAAAUGUCUCGGUUUUACCACUUGUUGUGAGGAACGAGCUGGAAACAUUGGAGGAGAAACUUUUAAAUGGUGACAUUACGGUGAAGGGAUACAACCUCACCAAGGCUGAGCUUCUAAAGCCGUAUCAUAGUCUGGCUGACAUCAACGUACAGCCAGGCGGAGUCCAGGAUAAGGCCUCCAAAGGCCUGGAGGAAGACAAUCAGAUGAAGAAUAAUCAAAACUCUGAUCAGAAAAUGCCAAAGGAGUCUAAACCUACCCCUCCUCUCAUGCCGGUCCACAUCGAUAGUAAAAUAAAAAGUCUUUUAAGUCCUGAACGUUUUCCUUUGAAUCCUGUAAUUGAGAAGCCCAAGACGUCGAAACUUCACAGCAACGUUUCCCAAAAGAGUGAGGAGAUUCGAGGGGAGCCGCCUGCAGUCGGGAGGAAGCUGCAGCACUUUGUCUCCUCAGAUCGAGGCUUUCUGCCGUGGGAGAGGAGGAAAUACUUCCAGGCCUUGCUUGAGGAGGAGGAGCGUCUUCAGAGCGAGUUAUCCUACAGGACGGACAGCGGAGCGACCAGGCGAAAGCUGCAGGACACCUUCGCCGACUCGCUGCGCUACGUCAACAAGCUGCUCAACGGCCAGUUCGGCUUCACGUCGCGCAAAGUCCCUGCUCACAUGCCGCACAUGAUCGACCGUCUCGUCAUGCAGGAGCUCCAGGACACAUUUCCCGAAGAGUUCGACAAAACCUCGGCGCACCGCGUUCGUCACUCUGAGGACAUGCAGUUCGCCUUUUCCUACUUUUACUUCCUGAUGAGUGCCCAGCAGCAGCUGAACGUCUCAGACGUGUUUGACGAAGUCGACACCGACCACUCCGGCGUUCUGUCGGACAGAGAGAUCCGAACUCUCGCUACCAGGAUCCACGAGCUUCCCCUCAGCCUCCAGGAUCUGACGGGUUUAGAGCAGAUGCUGAUAAACUGCUCUAAAACCCUCCCAACUAACCUGACCCAUCUGCACCUGGUGAGCCCCAUGCAGGAAGCCUAUUAUGAUCCCAACAUGCCUCCCGUCACUAAAGGCCUGGUCCUUCACUGCAAACCCAUCACAGAGAAGAUUCAUAAAGCUUUCAAAGAUCAGAACAAAUACAAGUUUGAGAUAAUGGGAGAGGAAGAGAUUGCUUUCAAGAUGGUGCGGACCAACGUGUCCCAUGUGGUCGGCCAGUUGGACGACAUCAGGAAGAAUCCCAGGAAGUUCAUCUGUCUGAAUGAUAACAUCGACCACAGCCACAAGGACGCUCCCACUGUGAAGGCCGUGCUGAGAGAUUUCUACGAGUCCAUGUUCCCACUGCCGUCCCAGUUCGAGCUUCCCAGAGAAUACCGCAACAGGUUCCUGCAUAUGGAAGAGCUCCAGGACUGGCGGGUUUACCGGGACAAGCUGAAGUUCUGGACCCACUGCGUCCUCGUGACUCUUGUCGUCUUCACCAUUAUGUCCUUCUUCGCCGAGCAGCUCAUUCUGCUGAAGCGGAAACUGUUCCCCAGACGCAGACUAACCAGAGACAGCAACCCAGAGCGAGUGUAAAAGAGGAAGACUGUCUUGUCCUCCAUGAAAGUCGUCCUCCACGCCUUCUGUCCUCCUCCAACGAGAGACCAGGAAGGAAUCUGGGUGGACGCAACAGUCUGGACUGCUGAGAGCAGCAUUCUUCUGAAUGUGGGAAGAUACUGCAGCCAAACUAAAUCAAGAAGUUGAAUUUUCUUCCACUGGGGGCAUUGAAGACAGACUCAGCACUCCUGCAUCAGAUCCUGCCGUCGCAUCGACUCAGACAAAUGUACUGUUAAAUUAUGAAACAUUUUCCAGCAAGUUGUAUUAUAGGAAGCUCAAAUUGCACCUGUAUUUUAUAACGGUACAAACUCCUAGAAUUUUUUUUUUUUUUAAGUUAAAUAUGUUUUUGUGUUUAAAAGACAUCUAAAAAUGUCGCCUUUACUGGGGAGUCUAAAAGAAAGUGUUGCUUUUACAACCUUGUAUUUUUGUUUGUUUUAAAGAUGUAAAGAUUUGGGUAAAUGUAUUUAAGUUUUGGCCGUUUAACUCUGCCGUCUUGGAAAACAUGAAGUGCCUUCGUUGUUUAUUCCUGUUGGAUUUGAACAUUUUCUUUUGUCACCCACACCUGACCGGGUUUACAGAAUCAAUGAGUCAGAUGCUGGUUGCCAUCAUUACUGUAUGCGAUUGUUUGAUGAUAUGCGGUAUUUCCGAGGCCUUCACGGCUCUCGUAGGUGUGUCCCUGUGGGACUCGGCAGACUCGCUGCUGUCUGACAUUCAGACCACCACAGCAUGUUCUCUAACUUAUUUUUGACUUAUUGUGACAACGACCAAUGCAUUGGUAAUGAUUUGUAAAUCGCUCGUCAUUUUUGCAAAUUCCUGAUUGUCCGUUUUAACAAUUUUCUGGAUUAUAUUGACAGAAAUGAGAGCGACUAACUCGGAACAUAUACCCUGGCUAUUCACUUCAAAGCUCCGUGUAGGCUUCCUCAAAAUGACCUAGAUUCUUCCGGUAGAAUUUCAGCUGGGCCAAUCAGCGAACAGAAUGAGAAGUUCUAAACGAUGACGUCAUCGAUUUUUUUUUUAUUUUUAUUUUUUUCUUCUUCCUCUAGCAAUGGCGGCGGUACGAAGCCGUUCAGUCUGUGUCAACAGCCAUCUUGUUCGGCGCGGUACUAAUCCCCAUUUGUUGUUUACAGCGCAGGCGAUUUCCGGGAAAACUUAGCUGUGUCCCAUAGCAAGAACGUCUGAGUAGGAUUGGAUUUGUGUUUGCUACAAUAAACACCUGGGACUUUCCUGCAAGAAGGUUCCAACAUCUGAUUGGUUAACCUGCACAGGAAGUUCACUUCUGACCAAUCAUCUUGACCAAGAGCAGUGUUUGUGCCAGCAGUCUGUGAUGGAUACCCAAGAAGAUGCGUUUGACAGAAAAGCAAAUAACUGAAAUUAUACUGAUGGCUGGAUCGGGAAGCAGUCGCAUGGUUGCACGAAACUUUAACAGAAAACAUGGAGCGAGCGUCACACACGACACUGUGGCAAAACUUAUUUGCAAGUUUCAGAAAACUGGAAAUGUUGCAGAUCAACCAGGAAGUGGUCCAAGACAUGCAGCGACUACACACAGUCCCGCAAAAAAUAAAAACAGGUGUCCAAUAUAAAAUGUUUAUUAUUUCUAUGAAUGUAAACUUAUGGCCCGAAACAUCUCAGUGGUUUAGAUUUAGAUGGAGAGUUAGAGAGCCUGGAUUUCCAACCACUCUGCUCGAUUCGAUGGAUAUUGCCAAAAUAUAUUUCUCCUCCAUUUAGUUUAACUCAGUUUUGAAAGUGACUUCAUGGUGUUACAGCUGCUCUCCCUUUUUUCACAAUAAAAACAAACAUUUAACACAAAGG
RNA transcript from Poecilia latipinna (sailfin molly), 4398 nucleotides. It is a transcript of the gene named N-acetylglucosamine-1-phosphotransferase subunits alpha/beta-like, with no coding region annotated. The transcript is spliced from 15 exons. Lineage: Eukaryota; Metazoa; Chordata; Actinopteri; Cyprinodontiformes; Poeciliidae. The record is from RefSeq and is a predicted model, not a curated record.